This is a long non-coding RNA of Mus musculus (house mouse), 3574 nucleotides long. RefSeq annotates it as predicted gene, 37336. The record is from RefSeq and is a predicted model, not a curated record. The transcript is spliced from 2 exons. Lineage: Eukaryota; Metazoa; Chordata; Mammalia; Rodentia; Muridae.
AUAUGUUGCCCUCUGACCUUUACACAUGUGCCAUGGCAUGUAUAUAUAUGCACACGCACAUGUGCAUACACACAUGAUGUAAUAUUAAGAAGAACCGUAGAAAAACUGCAAAAGGGGUUGGAGAGAUGACUCACUCACUGGUUAGGGGCUCUGCUCUUCCUGAGGGCUCAGGUUUGAUUCUGAGCGCAUAAACCAUGGGUCGCAACCAUCAAUCACUCCAGAUCCAAGCCGUCUAGCUCUCUCCUUUGGCCUCUUUGGACACAGGGCAUGUACACAGUGCACAGACAUGUGUGCAGGGGAAACAAGAGUGCAUGCUUCUCUCCCAGAGGACCUGGGUUUGGUUCCAGCACCUACAUGGCAGCUCACAACCACCUGUAUCCCUGGCUUCCUUCCGGAGAGCUGCCACUGUCUUCUGGACUUCUUGGGCACUUGCAUACACGGUACACACAUAACAAAGUAACAAAAAAAUGAAUCUUUGAAAAGUUGCACAAGUGUAACUACGUGUCAAUCUUUUCAUUCAAGUUUUUUUCCAGAACUAUUUUGAUAAAAUCGUUGUUUAUGUUAAUACGGUGCUUAUUUGUUUAAAGGAAUCAGUCCAUAACUUUUUAAAAUUCUGACCUGCCAUUUCUACUAGGAUAGAAUUAACACACAAAAUGGGUUUUAGAGCCCUGAAGAACUUCUACCUGUGUGAGAGGCCCUGAGGCCAGUAUGUUUCAGAAAGACUGAGCAGGUGUGUACACACACCCCACCCCCUAAGAAGGCUGCUGUGCUCUGGUGACCUGGAAGCCAUGCUAUUCUUCAGCGCGCCACAGGAGGGCAGCAGAUCCUGCUGUGAGCCUCUUAGGUCUUCACCCCAGGAGGUCCAUACAGUCUGCUGCCUCUAGCUUCUUCCAGGAUCUGGCUCAGUCCUGGACAAAGUCAUAGUCUAGGUUCUCGCUCUGUGGGGGAUUUAGCUCUGUUUUCACACCCAUCUCCUUGGAGAAAGCAUCAGGAUGUUAUCGAGGCCCAGGCAUGAGCCUGACCACUUUGCUGGGGAUAUUUGGUGAACACACAUUAGUUCCACGGGACACAGCGGCUCAUAGCGCCCCUUUCCAGUCUCAGUUUAACCUGGAAGUAUUGGUUCUUGUGGGAGUGGUCUGGAACCAACCAGUGUUUAACAACACAGUCAUCAAAAGCUGCCUUAGCAUGCUCUCCACCUCUGUGAGUAACUCUGUGUAGCCAAAAGGUGUAUUUGGGAUUGUGGUUUCAGAUGCUUUGGCCCAUGGUUGCUGGCUUUGUUGCUCUGACGCCUGUGACAACACAGUGCAUCAUGGGAGGAAUGGGUAUGGAUAGGAGAACCCAAUUCAACUCAUGGCUGUCAGGAAAUAGAGAGGUAAGGCACCCAUCUGUUCAAGACUUACUUCCAGGGACCUAAUGCCCCUCCUCUAGGAACCGCCUAAAGGGUCCAAUGUCUCCACAGGCUGGAAGCCACACCUUUAACACACAGGUGCAGCGAAGUGGGGAGGGGAGAGGGAGUGCGCCCAUGUUACCCAUGUCUUUACCCUGGCUUGGGCGAACGUUGGGGGCACAGGUGAAAUUUUACCCAUAACCAGGGCUUCAUGUUGGCAUCAUAGCAGGUUACGGGGACUCUAGCAAUGGAAAGCAAGGCUUUGAGGCUACUUAAUGCAGCCCCUUGGCUCCCCUUAGAGACUUCUCCAAACAGCCUUAAAGUAACCUAAUGUGAUCAAAUGUGGGCCAGUAGGAAGUAAAGUCACAAGGUAAGGGUCUAGGUCCCACACUGCCCAUUUUCUGGUCCCUGCUCUUCCUCCAUUACUGUAACCCCAGCCUUGACAUAUUUCUCCCUCCCUGCUAGGUAUUCAAUGUCAGGUUAGUUUCCCCAAUGAUACAUAAAUAUCAGUAGUCCUUGUUACCAUAGGUUUGAUAACUAAGAAAAUCUGGGUUUCGAAGAUCAAGGCAAGGUUUGGUUUGGUCCUGCUUCUACCAUGUGUAAACUUUGGAGGUGCUUAAGUUCUCCAUUUCCUUCACUGCCAGAGGCAAUAAUAAUAAUAAUAUGAAGUUGUGAGGAUCACAUGGCAAAAGGCAGCCUGCUUAGAUUCUGCACAUAGGCAAGAUCAUCUGGUGUUUGUCUUUCUGUGCCUGGCUCACUUAACGCCAUGCCUUCCAGGUUCAGCUAUGUUACAGCAGAUUAAAAGAUCCCCUUAUUAUUAAGGCUACUCUUUAGGGCAUUACAUUGUAUGCAUGUUUUCUUCAUCCAUCCGUUGGGGGAUUCGGGUGAAGCCUGGCCCUAAGGUAACAAAAGAUCAUCAGGUUGUAAACUGCAGCCGUUCCUUUUUUCUUAAACACUUAUUUUGUUUAUUUUAUGUAUAUGAGUGCACUGUAGCUGUCUUUAGACACACACUAGAAGAGAGCAUCGAAUCCCAUUACAGACGGUUGUGAGUCACCAUGUGGUUGCUGGGAAUUGAACUCAGGACCUCUGGAAGAAGAGUCGAUGCUCUUAACCGCUGAGCCAUCUCGCCAGCCCCCUGCAGCCCUUGCUAGCAUUCUGAGUGGAGACAGGCAAAGGUCUCCAUUCUUUGAAGAGAUAAGCCUGCGUGUUUCACUUUCUUGCUUUCCCUAGUGCUGGCUUGUGUGCACAAGGAUCUGUAUCCUCUACAAUGUUUUAAAUGAUUGCUUGGGAUACACUUCUUAAGAAUAUGGACAUUGUUAAAGCUAACCUGGUCUGGAUGACAAACUGGCUCUUAGCGGUUAGUUUCCACCCUUCCGGAUAUUCAAGUCCAUUUGUUUGAUCAUCUCUUUAGCCGGCUACCAUGCUAAUGUCUAGUUCACCUGUGCAUGCCUUUUAGAUUCAGUUCUUGUAGUCUUUUUGACAAGCAAGUUGACAGUGUGGGCCUCUCCAGCCUUCCCACAACAUUUCUGCUUUAACAGUGUUUCCUAAAGAUAAAAAUUAACUUCCUAUGACCCCGCUCAGUACCCUUGGAUACCCAGGUCAGAAGACGGAGACAUUCUGGAACAACAAGAGAGUUGGCACUUCCUGACUUGGUGUGGCUGUGUAAUUGCAUCUCAGCUGGUGAAGCAAUGGCACAUGAGGUGGACACUGCUACCAGGUUUGGCCAUUGAACCCUGUGCCCAUGUCACCCUUGGAAGUCACAAGGUGAAGCCACCAGAGCCUCUGUCAGCUAGAAGAACACUCAUGGCUGUGGCUGUGAUGGGAUUCUUCCCUGAGAAGGCUUUGUUCCAGAAGCUCGUCCCGGAAGCUGGAUGGUGAUGUGGAGAGGCAAUGAGAUCAUUAAGAGACAGAGCCUUGUGGCAAGUAAGUGGGUCACUGAUGGCCCUGUCUUCAGAAAAGAUUAGUACUCAUCUCAAGGGAUACAUCUGUCCUUCCAAGAAUGAGUUGCUAUAAAAGGACCCUGCCUGCUCCUGCAUCCACUGACUUCCUACUUUGCGUUGCAUGUGGGUGUCAUUGUGACGCCACUCACCAUGAGGUCAUCACUGGAGACUCAAUUAAUAGGCCGUUCAGUCUUGACCUCUUAGACUCAAAGACUGAGUUAAUAAACACCCUCCUUUAUGAAAUGUG